This 1899-nucleotide long non-coding RNA is filed under the name Macaca fascicularis (crab-eating macaque). RNAcentral describes it as "lncRNA (ENSMFAG00000047774.1)". The record is from RNAcentral. Lineage: Eukaryota; Metazoa; Chordata; Mammalia; Primates; Cercopithecidae.
UUUUUUUUUUUUUUUUACUAUACCCACAUAUUCUGUGGGUCAGGAAUUCAGAAAAGGACAGCUUAUCGCUGUGGUACAAUCUGAGCUGUCAGCUGGGAAGACUUGAAGCCUGGGGGUGACUUCACAACAGGAGAUUGAAAUCUUCCAAAAACUCACUCACUCACAUGUCUGGUGGUCAAUACUGGCUGUUGGCUGGGUCUUCAGCUGGGGCAAUCAACUGGAACACCAGUUGCAGCUGAGUGGUUUUCUCAACCAGCUCCCUGUCUAUAGUAAUAAACGGGGAGUCCAAAGGUCUCAGACUUUCAUUUGUAGUGCUUCUGUUCCUUUCUGUGCAAGCUAAUAUGAUUCUUUUAAAAACUUUGUGAACUAUUGGCAUAUUAACUUAUAAUUUAUUCCAUUAGAUGAAGAGCCACAGCGGCAAAUCUCUCUGAGCUAAGUCUUUCUCCACCUUGGGCUCCCUGUAAGGCUGUCAUGGAACAGUGACCUUAAGAUUCCUAUAAGGCCUAUUGUUAAAUAGAGAGGAAGGCAAGCUCCCAAUUGCCUCCCUCUAGCAAAAACGGAGUGAAUCCUGGAGGAACACUGAGGCAGGAAGCUGAACCUGGCAUUUUCAUUCAAAGUCAAAAGCUACAAGGAGGGUGGCAAGUGGUGCCUCCACUGGCACAAGUCAAAGUCAAGCCCUCUCUGGAGGAAGGGUCACCAAGUUAGACCUAUAGGACUCACAUCUCUUUAAGCUCAAGUAAUGAACCAGUGAAAAUGACCAAGCACACAAGAAGUCAAACCACUAGUGACAACAGAUUUAGACACCCAAGAAUUGCAAAUUAUGGAAUUGUCAGAUUUUUAAAAAAAUAAUUGUUACGAAUGAAAUCUUUAAUGAAAUAAAAUAUUUGCUGCAAUAGCAAAAAUGAAGAUACAAGAAACCACCAGCAGUGAAAAAUCUUAAAAUACUACUCCAACUCCUGACCUCAAGUGAUCUGCCCACCUCAGCUCCUCAAAGUGCUGGGAUUACAGGUGCCCGACCAGCCUGGUUAACAUGGUGAAACCCCGUCUCUACUAAAAAUACAAAAAUUCGCUGGGUGUGGUGGUGCAUGCCUGUAGUCCCAGCUACUCGGAAAGUUGAGGCAGGAGAAUCGCUUGAACCCAGGAGGCGGAGGUUGCAGUGAGCCGAGAUAGCACCAUUGCACUCCAGCCUGGGCAACAGAGCAAGACUCCAUCUCAAAAAAAAAAAAAACAAAAAAAAAACCAACAACAAAAACUACUCAAGUUGCUUGUUAACUUUAAAAAGGAGGGAACAAAAGGUAUCCGCAAAUGGAGAAAUUUGGUGGAACCAACCUCACUACGUGAUCAAAGUGAACAUCAGUAUUGGAACUCUGUACUGUCUUGGGCCUCCUGUGGUGAUGCACGGAGAGGGACACAGUAUCAUAUAUGCAGUAUUCCUGCCCCAAAUAUUUAAUCAGAAUCCAAGAAUGAGGAAACAAUUAGAUCAAUCCAAAUUGAAGGACAUUUUGCAAAACAAUGUGGCUUGAACUCUUCAAAGAUGUCAAGGUGAGGCUGGGCUCGGUGGCUCAUACCUGUAAUCCCAGCACUUCAGGAGGAUGAGGCAGGUGGAUCACCUGAAGUCAGGAGUUCGAGACCAGCCUGGCCCACAUGGUGAAACCCUGUCUCUACUAAAACUACAAAAAUUAGCUGGUCAUGAUGGCGUGCACCUGUAGCCCCAUCUACUCAGGAGGCUGAGGUAGGAGAAUCGCUUGAACCCAGGAAGUGGAGGUUGCAGUGAGCCAAGAUCAGGCCACUGCACUCCAGCCUGGGCAACAGAGUGAGACUCCACUGCAAAAGAUGGAAAAAAAAAAAAAGUUAAGGAGAUGAGAAAAAUUUUUUUAAAGAGGGGCUCAGGACUAUUCC